Molecule: transfer RNA, 63 nt
Filed under: Gunungidia aurantiifasciata
Lineage: Eukaryota; Metazoa; Arthropoda; Insecta; Hemiptera; Cicadellidae
Also listed under: 2 other names
Description: tRNA-Trp
Source: RNAcentral
AAGAUUUUAAGUUAAUAAAACUAGUAACCUUCAAAGUUAAAAAUACUGAAGGGGUAAAUCUUA